Molecule: ribosomal RNA, 667 nt
Filed under: uncultured bacterium
Lineage: Bacteria
Description: bacterial SSU rRNA
Rfam family: Bacterial small subunit ribosomal RNA
Source: RNAcentral
CCGGAGCUUGCUCCACCGGAAAAAGAGGAGUGGCGAACGGGUGAGUAACACGUGGGUAACCUGCCCAUCAGAAGGGGAUAACACUUGGAAACAGGUGCUAAUACCGUAUAACAAUCNAAACCGCAUGGUUUUGAUUUGAAAGGCGCUUUCGGGUGUCGCUGAUGGAUGGACCCGCGGUGCAUUAGCUAGUUGGUGAGGUAACGGCUCACCAAGGCCACGAUGCAUAGCCGACCUGAGAGGGUGAUCGGCCACAUUGGGACUGAGACACGGCCCAAACUCCUACGGGAGGCAGCAGUAGGGAAUCUUCGGCAAUGGACGAAAGUCUGACCGAGCAACGCCGCGUGAGUGAAGAAGGUUUUCGGAUCGUAAAACUCUGUUGUUAGAGAAGAACAAGGAUGAGAGUAACUGUUCAUCCCUUGACGGUAUCUAACCAGAAAGCCACGGCUAACUACGUGCCAGCAGCCGCGGUAAUACGUAGGUGGCAAGCGUUGUCCGGAUUUAUUGGGCGUAAAGCGAGCGCAGGCGGUUUCUUAAGUCUGAUGUGAAAGCCCCCGGCUCAACCGGGGAGGGUCAUUGGAAACUGGGAGACUUGAGUGCAGAAGAGGAGAGUGGAAUUCCAUGUGUAGCGGUGAAAUGCGUAGAUAUAUGGAGGAACACCAGUGGCGAA